GCAUGCAACUCGAGCGGACCGAAUAGAAGCUUGCUUCUAUUUGGUUAGCGGCGGACGGGUGAGUAACACGUGGGCAACCUGCCCUGUAGACGGGGAUAACACCGAGAAAUCGGUGCUAAUACCGGAUAACACGGAAUGUCGCAUGACGUUUCGUUGAAAGGCGGCCGCAAGCUGUCUCUACAGGAUGGGCCCGCGGCGCAUUAGCUAGUUGGUGAGGUAACGGCUCACCAAGGCGACGAUGCCGUAGCCGACCUGAGAGGGUGAUCGGCCACACUGGGACUGAGACACGGUCCAGACUCCUAC
This 303-nucleotide ribosomal RNA is filed under the name Anoxybacillus flavithermus. RNAcentral's name for it is "bacterial SSU rRNA". It matches the Rfam family "Bacterial small subunit ribosomal RNA", at positions 53 to 342 of the family's 1533-position model. The record is from RNAcentral. Lineage: Bacteria; Bacillati; Bacillota; Bacilli; Caryophanales; Anoxybacillaceae.